AGGAUGAACGCUGGCGGAGUGCCUAACACAUGCAAGUCGAGCGGCAGCACGAGUAGUUUACUACUUGGUGGCGAGCGGCGGACGGCUGAGUAACGCGUGGGAACGUGCCCCAAAGUGAGGAAUAACUGCCCGAAAGGGUAGCUAAUGCCGCAUAUGAUCUUCGGAUUAAAGUAUUUAUUACGCUUUGGGAGCGGCCCGCGUCCGAUUAGGUAGUUGGUGAGGUAAAGGCUCACCAAGCCCACGAUCGGUAGCUGGUUUGAGAGGAUGACCAGCCAGACUGGAACUGAGACACGGUCCAGACUCCUACGGGAGGCAGCAGUGAGGAAUCUUCCACAAUGGACGAAAGUCUGAUGGAGCAACUCCGCGUGCAGGAUGAAGGCCUUAGGGUUGUAAACUGCUUUUAUGAGUGAAGAUAUGACGGUAACUCAUGAAUAGGGUCGGCUAACUACGCGCCAGCAGCCGCGGU
This 466-nucleotide ribosomal RNA is filed under the name uncultured bacterium. Its description in RNAcentral is "SSU rRNA". It matches the Rfam family "Bacterial small subunit ribosomal RNA", at positions 26 to 521 of the family's 1533-position model. The record is from RNAcentral.